AGUGAACGCUGGCGGCAUGCCUAACACAUGCAAGUCGAACGACCACACAGUAAGAUUUUGCCUUUACGGGUGGCGAGUGGCGGACGGGUGAGGCAUACAUCGGAAUCCUCUUUUUCGUGGGGGAUAACGUAGGGACACAUAUGCUAAUACCGCAUACUACCUACCGGUGAAAUCGGGGGAUCUACGGACCUUGCGCGAAUCAAUGAGCCGAUGUCGGAUUAGCUAGUUGGCGAGGUAAAGGCCCACCAAGGCAACGAUACGUAGCUGAUCUGAGAGGGUGAUCAGCCACACUGGAACUGAGACACGGUCCAGACUCCUACGGGAGGCAGCAGUGGGGAAUAUUGCGCAAUGGGCGAAAGCCUGAUGCAGCAACACCGCGUGGGUGAAGAAGGCCUUCGGGUUGUAAAACCCUGUUAUUAGGAAAGAAAAACAGCGGAUUUAUCCGCGGAUGUUUUGACGGUACCCAAAGAAAAAGCCCCGGCUAACUUCGUG
Molecule: ribosomal RNA, 492 nt
Filed under: uncultured bacterium
Lineage: Bacteria
Description: partial 16S ribosomal RNA
Rfam family: Bacterial small subunit ribosomal RNA
Source: RNAcentral